Molecule: ribosomal RNA, 16 nt
Filed under: Myriopteron extensum
Lineage: Eukaryota; Viridiplantae; Streptophyta; Magnoliopsida; Gentianales; Apocynaceae
Description: partial 26S ribosomal RNA
Source: RNAcentral
GCGACACCAGGUCAGG